GAUGGAGCAGGUGGGGAAGGGCAGGGGCUCUGCAGAUAACGGGCAAAGGCGGGCAGGAGCCAGUGAUUCACGCAGGAGAGGAAACUCGUGUGCUUAGCCAGGCACAGAGAUAAUUCAUUCCCACUCAGCUCUGAAAGCCAGGGAAAUUUUAAUAAAUGCAAUUCCAUUCAAAUGAACAAAUAUUUUAAAACACGAAGUUAUUUAAUCUAGCACUGAAGAACACUCACUGUCUUCAACAGCUCGUCACAAGCCUGGGCGUCCCCUCAAAGCCUGCCAUGUGGGUCCUUCUCCAACGGGGCCCGACUCACAGGCACCCUGACCUGCUGAGCCAUCUCCGCAGCCUGGCACUGGGUUUAGAAACACGUCAGUCUGGAAGCAACCAAAGUCUCCAGACAGGAGAACUAUGGCGUCGUGCAGUCCGACUACUGUACAGUAAGAUAUACAGCAUGGCACAAUGAGGUUCAGAUCUGCCAGGGCUUUCCCUUAGAGUAAGCACCAGGUAUCCUGAUUCCAGAACCACCCCAGCCCCGAGCACAUGGGGACACACAGCCACCCGAAGGGUAACUGCUGUCAGUGCCACAGGCAGGUUUGUUCUGAUCUGGCCUCUCGCUGGGCAGGGGGUAGCAGGGUACUUCACGCCUCUUGAAGCUAGGUGAUCAUAUGACUUACUUUUGCUGGUCAACCGUGAGAGGAGAUGACUGUCCUGCCCAGACAGCACUCUUGCUGGUCUGUGCCAAGAUGAUACCUAGUCAAGCUGGGUCCCCAAGUGCCUGUGACAGGGACCGUUCAACUCCCCACAGGGUAGCAUAAGACAUGCCCUUCACUGCAAAUGGUGUAUGACAUUAUCUCUGGGAAGACAAGGACAAAGGUCCUACUCACCCUGAUCGGGAGCCAAUGACAGACCAAAGUAUGGGUACCAUCAAAAUCUAGUCUAUGAUUUUUUGGGGGUGGGGGUGGUGGUUACUUACAGGACUGUGGGUGAAGAAUUACUCACAGGAAAAGAAAUGAAUCAAAGACAGCUGCAUCUCCAAAGUCCAACCCAGCAUGGGUGACAGCUCACAAAAGCUGGGAACCUGGAGCACGCGGCAAAGCCAACAGGCAGCUAUGGGCUCAGGCAGCUAUGGGCUCAAGAGUGUCCUUUUCUGGUAGCGCAGUUGGUCUAAACCAGCGAUUCUCAUCUUGUGGGUCAUGACCCCUUUGGGGGGUGUGUGUGCAAUGACCCUUUCACAGAUAUUUACAUUACAAUUCAUAACAGCAAAAUUACAGUUAUGAAGUAGCAACAAAAAUAAUUUGUGGUUGGGGAUCAUCAAAACACAAGGAGCUGUAUUAAAGGGUUACAGCAUUAGGAUGGUAAACCACUGCUCUAAACCAAUUCCAGGACACUCAGUCUCUGCCUCUUCUAGGCAACUUAGAGAAUAGUCCAUACUGCCUGAUAUAUGCUAAGGAGAGCCCUAGAGAAUGUGGUCAAUUUCAGGGACUUCCUGAAGCUUUUGAGUUGUUUACUUCCCAGUGGAACCUUUCAGUUCCCUUCCCUCCAGGAUGGAGUGUUUUCUUUCUCUCAGGGAAUUGCUGCACAACAGCAAGGGGUUAAGGCUUAUUUCUGCAAGGUGCCCUCCCCUGCUCUGACUGGUCCUGCAGGACAUGGCAAUCCCACACUACUAAGGUAGAUGCAGACCACUCAAUUUUAUCCGCAGUGAUAGCUAACUCUUUACACAUGUGUAAUGAGCUAGACAGGUUUGUAAAUGCUGGCAAUAUCAGGUAUACUAAAGGAAGUUUUGUGACUUUUUUCUUCUUCUCUGUUACACUGUCUAAUUUUCUAUAGAGAAUAUCUUAUUAUUUUUGGAUGGUGGAUGUUUUAUUAAAUCAUUUCUUUGCAGUGGA
Long non-coding RNA from Mus musculus (house mouse), 1881 nucleotides. RefSeq annotates it as predicted gene, 52187. NCBI's taxonomy places the organism in Eukaryota, Metazoa, Chordata, Mammalia, Rodentia, Muridae. The record is from RefSeq and is a predicted model, not a curated record. The transcript is spliced from 2 exons.